RNAcentral lists this ribosomal RNA (315 nucleotides) under Danionella sp. 'Jorai River'. RNAcentral's name for it is "partial 12S ribosomal RNA". It matches the Rfam family "Bacterial small subunit ribosomal RNA", at positions 868 to 1348 of the family's 1533-position model. The record is from RNAcentral. Lineage: Eukaryota; Metazoa; Chordata; Actinopteri; Cypriniformes; Danionidae.
UUCGCCAGGCUAAUACGAGCAUUAGCUUAAAACCCAAAGGACCUGACGGUGUCUUAAACCCCUCUAGAGGAGCCUGUUCUAGAACCGAUGAUACACGUUUUACCCAACCUCUUCUUGCAACUCAGCUUGUAUAUUUCCGUCAUCAGUUUACCUCUUGAAGGUUUAGAAGUAUAACAGAAUAAAAAUAAGUCUUAAGUAUGGCAGGUCAAAAUGUAGCUAAUGGAGAGGGAAGUAAUGGGCUACAUUUUCUAAUCAGAAAACACGGAUAAAGAAGUGAAACAUUUUUUUGAAGGAGGAUUUAGUAGUAAGGAGGAA